This 1068-nucleotide long non-coding RNA is filed under the name Apteryx haastii (Great spotted kiwi). Its description in RNAcentral is "lncRNA (ENSAHAG00000015947.1)". The record is from RNAcentral. Lineage: Eukaryota; Metazoa; Chordata; Aves; Apterygiformes; Apterygidae.
AUGCGUGGGUGGCCACUGGCCCCACGGCCACCCUGGGAGCCCAGUCCUGAUGGUCCGGAGGUCCCAAAUCCCCUGACCGCUUCCUCCGUUGCCCUCCAGCAUCCUGCCCUGGUCCCCGUCUCUGCACCCAGGCUCCAGCCCCGCGUCCACAGCCGGGAUUUCGGCCCCGGCGUGGUACCCGAUGCAGCUCGCCGGCACGGGAUGGGAGUCCAUGCCCCGGCGCCCACCCCCCAUCCCUGCCCCGCCGCGGGGCUGCUCGCCGGAGCGGCCGCUCACCCAGCGCUGCGAGGAGCACCGCGAGGAAGACGAGGCUCCCGCUGUCCCGGGCGCCCUGCGACAUGGUGGUUGUUGUUACCGGCCGGCUCYGAGCCGCAUGGGAAGGCUGGCGGUGCGUGGGGCCCGGCGGUCCGUGCCGAAGGGUGCCGGGAGGAUGGGUGCCGAGGUUUAAGAGCAAGCAGAGCCGAACGGUGCCGGCGGUGCCCCGGCCUUGGGCCAAUGGGCGCCGGGCAGCCGGGGCGGUGGGGGCCAGAGGGUGCCGGCCACCCCGAGCUGAAAGGGGGCAUUUUGUUUGGUGUUCGGCGAGGAGGGGAAAACAUGUGGCAGGCGGGGAGUUGGGCACACAGCGCCCUUUGUCCGGCCGCAUUCCCUGCCGCGGCGGAGGCGGCUCAGCAGGAAUGCGGCCGGAGUCGGAGAGCAAGGGUGCACGGACGCACGGACGCGUGGACGCGGAGCCACUCGGCUCUGCCACAAGUUGGAGCAUCCUGGGACACAACRCUGGCCGGCCGCCACCCCUGGGCUUGGUCCCCGCAGGUGGAUAGACACACAGACCCUGGCCUCAUCCAGAUUGCGGAGCCUGGACCGUGCUGCGGGUCCCCAGCGCUUCCCAGCACCCUGCGUGUGCAAGGGCCAUGGGGCAGGGGGUGUCCAGGGUCACCAUCCGGCUCUGGGCAUCCUCCAGCACCCCUAGGUCUGCAGUCCUACCCCAUCACGUGGGGCUUUCCAGCAGCACUGCUAGCUACAACCAAGCAGACUCUCAAGAGACUCUGCUCCAGCUCCAUUUUGGGGUGA